This 1541-nucleotide long non-coding RNA is filed under the name Rhopalosiphum maidis (corn leaf aphid). RNAcentral describes it as "uncharacterized LOC113559872, transcript variant X2". The record is from RNAcentral. Lineage: Eukaryota; Metazoa; Arthropoda; Insecta; Hemiptera; Aphididae.
GUUACACAGAUCAAUCAUAGUAUGCCGAGCACGGGACUUGCAUUUACAACACUUGGAUAGGAACUAGUGUUCUACAUUGACGAUAUAUGACGACAACGCACUAACAAUCAUUCAUGAACUAUUCCAAUGUUAGAUGUAUUGACUAUUGACUGUAGCAGUUACACAGAUCAAUCAUAGUAUGCCGAGCACGGGACUUGCAUUUACAACACUUGGAUAGCAACUAGUGUUCUACAUUGACGAUAUAUGACGACAACGCACUAACAAUCAUUCAUGAACUAUUCCAAUGUUAGAUGUAUUGACUAUUGACUGUAGCAGUUACACAGAUCAAUCAUAGUAUGCCGAGCACGGGACUUGCAUUUACAACACUUGGAUAGCAACUAGUGUUCUACAUUGACGAUAUAUGACGACAACGCACUAACAAUCAUUCAUGAACUAUUCCAAUGUUAGAUGUAUUGACUAUUGACUGUAGCAGUUACACAGAUCAAUCAUAGUAUGCCGAGCACGGGACUUGCAUUUACAACACUUGGGAAGCAACUAGUGUUCUACAUUGACGAUAUAUGACGACAACGCACUAACAAUCAUUCAUGAACUAUUCCAAUGUUAGAUGUAUUGACUAUUGACUGUAGCAGUUACACAGAUCAAUCAUAGUAUGCCGAGCACGGGACUUGCAUUUACAACACUUGGAUAGCAACUAGUGUUCUACAUUGACGAUAUAUGACGACAACGCACUAACAAUCAUUCAUGAACUAUUCCAAUGUUAGAUGUAUUGACUAUUGACUGUAGCAGUUACACAGAUCAAUCAUAGUAUGCCGAGCACGGGACUUGCAUUUACAACACUUGGAUAGCAACUAGUGUUCUACAUUGACGAUAUAUGACGACAACGCACUAACAAUCAUUCAUGAACUAUUCCAAUGUUAGAUGUAUUGACUAUUGACUGUAGCAGUUACACAGAUCAAUCAUAGUAUGCCGAGCACGGGACUUGCAUUUACAACACUUGGGAAGCAACUAGUGUUCUACAUUGACGAUAUAUGACGACAACGCACUAACAAUCAUUCAUGAACUAUUCCAAUGUUAGAUGUAUUGACUAUUGACUGUAGCAGUUACACAGAUCAAUCAUAGUAUGCCGAGCACGGGACUUGCAUUUACAACACUUGGAUAGCAACUAGUGUUCUACAUUGACGAUAUAUGACGACAACGCACUAACAAUCAUUCAUGAACUAUUCCAAUGUUAGAUGUAUUGACUAUUGACUGUAAGUUCAGGGGACUAUUAUGAAUUACAUUUUACAAUUGUAAAUGAAUGUUCAAAUGACACCAUUUUCAUGUAGCAGUUACACAGAUCAAUCAUAGUAUGCCGAGCACGGGACUUGCAUUUACAACACUUGGAUAGCAACUAGUGUUCUACAUUGACGAUAUAUGACGACAACGCACUAACAAUCAUUCAUGAACUAUUCCAAUGUUAGAUGUAUUGACUAUUGACUGUAGCAGUUACACAGAUCAAUCAUAGUAUGCCGAGCACGGGACUUGCAUUUACAACACUUGGA